RNAcentral lists this transfer RNA (72 nucleotides) under Camelus bactrianus (Bactrian camel). It matches the Rfam family "tRNA". From Rfam's summary of the family: Transfer RNA (tRNA) molecules are approximately 80 nucleotides in length. RNAcentral also lists the same sequence under 3 other names. Lineage: Eukaryota; Metazoa; Chordata; Mammalia; Artiodactyla; Camelidae. The record is from Rfam by way of RNAcentral.
AAGGGUGUAGCUCAGUGGUAUAGUGCGUGCUUAGCAUGCAUGAGGUCCUGGGUUCAAUCCCAAGUACCUCCA